Molecule: ribosomal RNA, 496 nt
Filed under: uncultured bacterium
Lineage: Bacteria
Description: partial 16S ribosomal RNA
Rfam family: Bacterial small subunit ribosomal RNA
Source: RNAcentral
AUGAACGCUGGCGGCGUGCCUAAUACCUGCAAGUCGAGCGAACAGAUGAGGAGCUUGCUCCUCUGACGUUAGCGGCGGACGGGUGAGUAACACGUGGAUAACCUACCUAUAAGACUGGGAUAACUUCGGGAAACCGGAGCUAAUACCGGAUAAUAUAUUGAACCGCAUGGUUCAAUAGUGAAAGACGGUUUUGCUGUCACUUAUAGAUGGAUCCGCGCCGCAUUAGCUAGUUGGUAAGGUAACGGCUUACCAAGGCAACGAUGCGUAGCCGACCUGAGAGGGUGAUCGGCCACACUGGAACUGAGACACGGUCAAGACUCCUACGGGAGGCAGCAGUAGGGAAUCUUCCGCAAUGGGCGAAAGCUUGACGGAGCAACGCCGCGUGAGUGAUGAAGGUCUUCGGAUCGUAAAACUCUGUUAUUAGGGAAGAACAAAUGUGUAAGUAACUAUGCACGUCUUGACGGUACCUAAUCAGAAAGCCACGGCUAACUACGUG